CUGCUGCCUUCCGUAGGAGUUUGGACCGUGUCUCAGUUCCAAUGUGGGGGACCUUCCUCUCAGAACCCCUACUGAUCGUCGCCCCGGUGGGCCGUUACCCCGCCGGCAAGCUAAUCAGACGCAUCCCCAUCCUUUACCGGCCGAAGCCUUUGGUCAUGAAAAUAUGCAUCAACAUGACAACAUACGGUAUUAAUCCGCCUUUCGACGGGCUGUCCCAUAGUAAAGGGCAGGUUGGAUACGCGUUACUCACCCGUACGCCGGUCGCCAU
RNAcentral lists this ribosomal RNA (268 nucleotides) under uncultured bacterium. RNAcentral describes it as "partial 16S ribosomal RNA". The record is from RNAcentral.